Molecule: non-coding RNA, 351 nt
Organism: Xyrichtys novacula (pearly razorfish)
Lineage: Eukaryota; Metazoa; Chordata; Actinopteri; Labriformes; Labridae
Source: the annotation of a GenBank genome assembly
CGUUGCACCCUCAACAAUGUGUCUACACAUCAUCGGAGCUGAUGGCACUGAGGAGACAAGCGUGGAGGAAAUGUGGGAGAACGGGACGGCGUGUGCAAAUAAACAGAAGCAGAGGAGGGUGAUAAAACAAAGGACGGCGGACUGAGCUUGAUUGUGAGAUAAACAAGCCAUCAGUGAAACAAUUGUUAGUUUGACUGUGUUUACUUUCAAGUGUUCUCCUCUGUUAUGAAAGGAUUUUAAGUUCAAACCCUUCAUCGAUCUCACGGUGUCAUCUUGUUUUUACAGCGGCACUUAAAAUUGGAUCGAUGGCUGUUAUUUUAAUGGCCUAACUUUCAGUCGACCUGUACCAAG